RNAcentral lists this ribosomal RNA (312 nucleotides) under uncultured bacterium. RNAcentral describes it as "bacterial SSU rRNA". It matches the Rfam family "Bacterial small subunit ribosomal RNA", at positions 28 to 334 of the family's 1533-position model. The record is from RNAcentral.
GAUGAACGCUGGCGGCGCGCCUAACACAUGCAAGUCGAACGAGCGAGAGAGAGCUUGCUUUCUCGAGCGAGUGGCGAACGGGUGAGUAACGCGUGAGGAACCUGCCUCAAAGAGGGGGACAACAGUUGGAAACGACUGCUAAUACCGCAUAAGCCCACGACCCGGCAUCGGGUUGUAGGGAAAAGGAGCAAUCCGCUUUGAGAUGGCCUCGCGUCUGAUUAGCUAGUUGGUGGGGUAACGGCCCACCAAGGCGACGAUCAGUAGCCGGUCUGAGAGGAUGAACGGCCACAUUGGGACUGAGAUACGGCCCAG